UAGGGAAUCUUCCGCAAUGGACGCAAGUCUGACGGAGCAACGCCGCGUGAGUGAAGAAGGAUUUCGGUUCGUAAAACUCUGUUGUUAGAGAAGAACAGCGCAUAGAGUAACUGUUAUGCGUGUGACGGUAUCUAACCAGAAAGCCACGGCUAACUACGUGCCAGCAGCCGCGGUAAUACGUAGGUGGCAAGCGUUGUCCGGAUUUAUUGGGCGUAAAGCGAGCGCAGGCGGUCAAUUAAGUCUGAUGUGAAAGCCCCCGGCUCAACCGGGGAGGGUCAUUGGAAACUGGUUGACUUGAGUGCAGAAGAGGAGAGUGGAAUUCCAUGGGUAGCGGUGAAAUGCGUAGAUAUAUGGAGGAACACCAGUGGCGAAGGCGACUCUCUGGUCUGUAACUGACGCUGAGGCUCGAAAGCGUGGGUAGCAAACAGG
This 429-nucleotide ribosomal RNA is filed under the name Bacteroidota bacterium. RNAcentral's name for it is "Bacteroidetes bacterium partial 16S ribosomal RNA". It matches the Rfam family "Bacterial small subunit ribosomal RNA", at positions 355 to 776 of the family's 1533-position model. The record is from RNAcentral. Lineage: Bacteria; Pseudomonadati; Bacteroidota.